AACGCUGGCGGCAGGCUUAACACAUGCAAGUCGAGCGCCCCGCAAGGGGAGCGGCAGACGGGUGAGUAACGCGUGGGAACGUACCCUUUUCUACGGAAUAACCCAGGGAAACUUGGACUAAUACCGUAUGUGCCCUUCGGGGGAAAGAUUUAUCGGAAAAGGAUCGGCCCGCGUUGGAUUAGCUAGUUGGUGGGGUAAAGGCCUACCAAGGCGACGAUCCAUAGCUGGUCUGAGAGGAUGAUCAGCCACAUUGGGACUGAGACACGGCCCAAACUCCUACGGGAGGCAGCAGUGGGGAAUAUUGGACAAUGGGCGCAAGCCUGAUCCAGCCAUGCCGCGUGAGUGAUGAAGGCCCUAGGGUUGUAAAGCUCUUUCACCGGUGAAGAUAAUGACGGUAACCGGAGAAGAAGCCCCGGCUAACUUCGUGCCAGCAGCCGCGGUAAUACGAAGGGGGCUAGCGUUGUUCGGAUUUACUGGGCGUAAAGCGCACGUAGGCGGAUCGAUCAGUCAGGGGUGAAAUCCCAGAGCUCAACUCUGGAACUGCCUUUGAUACUGUCGAUCUGGAGUAUGGAAGAGGUGAGUGGAAUUCCGAGUGNAGAGGNGAAAUUCGUAGAUAUUCGGAGGAACACCAGUGGCGAAGGCGGCUCACUGGUCCAUUACUGACGCUGAGG
RNAcentral lists this ribosomal RNA (671 nucleotides) under proteobacterium D248b. Its description in RNAcentral is "bacterial SSU rRNA". It matches the Rfam family "Bacterial small subunit ribosomal RNA", at positions 32 to 751 of the family's 1533-position model. The record is from RNAcentral. Lineage: Bacteria; Pseudomonadati; Pseudomonadota.